GGUUCCAUAGUGUAGGGUUAGCAUGUCUGCUUUACAAGCAAAUGGUCCUGGGUUUGCGUCUCAGUGGAGCCA
This 72-nucleotide transfer RNA is filed under the name Pteropus alecto (black flying fox). It matches the Rfam family "tRNA". From Rfam's summary of the family: Transfer RNA (tRNA) molecules are approximately 80 nucleotides in length. Their secondary structure includes four short double-helical elements and three loops (D, anti-codon, and T loops). Lineage: Eukaryota; Metazoa; Chordata; Mammalia; Chiroptera; Pteropodidae. The record is from Rfam by way of RNAcentral.